AGGACGAACGCUGGCGGCGUGCUUAACACAUGCAAGUCGAACGGAAAGGCCCUUUCGGGGGUACUCGAGUGGCGAACGGGUGAGUAACACGUGGGUGAUCUGCCCUGCACUUUGGGAUAAGCCUGGGAAACUGGGUCUAAUACCGAAUACACCUUGCUGGCUGCAUGGCCUGGUGGGGGAAAGCUUUUGCGGUGUGGGAUGGGCCCGCGGCCUAUCAGCUUGUUGGUGGGGUGAUGGCCUACCAAGGCGACGACGGGUAGCCGGCCUGAGAGGGUGUCCGGCCACACUGGGACUGAGAUACGGCCCAGACUCCUACGGGAGGCAGCAGUGGGGAAUAUUGCACAAUGGGCGCAAGCCUGAUGCAGCGACGCCGCGUGAGGGAUGACGGCCUUCGGGUUGUAAACCUCUUUCAGUAUCGACGAAGCGCAAGUGACGGUAGGUACAGAAGAAGCACCGGCCAACUACGUGCCAGCAGCCGCGGU
Molecule: ribosomal RNA, 482 nt
Filed under: uncultured bacterium
Lineage: Bacteria
Description: SSU rRNA
Rfam family: Bacterial small subunit ribosomal RNA
Source: RNAcentral